AGAGUUUGAUCCUGGCUCAGGACGAACGGCUGGCGGCGUGCUUAACACAUGCAAGUCGACGGAAAGGCCCUGCUUUUGUGGGGUGCUCGAGUGGCGAACGGGUGAGUAACACGUGAGUAACCUGCCCUUGACUUUGGGAUAACUUCAGGAAACUGGGGCUAAUACCGGAUAGGAGCUCCUGCUGCAUGGUGGGGGUUGGAAAGUUUCGGCGGUUGGGGAUGGACUCGCGGCUUAUCAGCUUGUUGGUGGGGUAGUGGCUUACCAAGGCUUUGACGGGUAGCCGGCCUGAGAGGGUGACCGGCCACAUUGGGACUGAGAUACGGCCCAGACUCCUACGGGAGGCAGCAGUGGGGAAUAUCGCACAAUGGGCGGAAGCCUGAUGCAGCAACGCCGCGUGCGGGAUGACGGCCUUCGGGUUGUAAACCGCUUUCGCCUGUGACGAAGCGUGAGUGACGGUAAUGGGUAAAGAAGCACCGGCUAACUACGUG
This 488-nucleotide ribosomal RNA is filed under the name uncultured Propionibacterium sp. RNAcentral's name for it is "bacterial SSU rRNA". It matches the Rfam family "Bacterial small subunit ribosomal RNA", at positions 8 to 507 of the family's 1533-position model. Lineage: Bacteria; Bacillati; Actinomycetota; Actinomycetes; Propionibacteriales; Propionibacteriaceae. The record is from RNAcentral.